This 497-nucleotide ribosomal RNA is filed under the name uncultured bacterium. Its description in RNAcentral is "partial 16S ribosomal RNA". It matches the Rfam family "Bacterial small subunit ribosomal RNA", at positions 28 to 507 of the family's 1533-position model. The record is from RNAcentral.
GAUGAACGCUGGCGGCGUGCCUAAUACAUGCAAGUCGAGCGAACAGACGAGGAGCUUGCUCCUCUGACGUUAGCGGCGGACGGGUGAGUAACACGUGGAUAACCUACCUAUAAGACUGGGAUAACUUCGGGAAACCGGAGCUAAUACCGGAUAAUAUAUUGAACCGCAUGGUUCAAUAGUGAAAGACGGUUUUGCUGUCACUUAUAGAUGGAUCCGCGCCGCAUUAGCUAGUUGGUAAGGUAACGGCUUACCAAGGCAACGAUGCGUAGCCGACCUGAGAGGGUGGUCGGCGACACUGGAGCUGAGACACGGUCCAGACUCCUACGGGAGGCAGCAGUAGGGAAUCUUACGCAAUGGGCGAGAGCCUGACGGAGCAACGCCGCGUGAGUGAUGAAGGUCUUCGGAUCGUAAAACUCUGUUAUUAGGGAAGAACAAAUGUGUAAGUAACUAUGCACGUCUUGACGGUACCUGGUCAGAAAGCCACGGCUAACUACGUG